CACGAGGAGACUGGUACUUAUUUUGACUUUGUAUAAAGGGGAUUUAUCCUCUGCCUUGUUUUGCCAGAGAGCAAUGCGGAGGAGUAAUACUAUUAUAUCAAUUAUGCAUGGCAGGCACUGUGGCAGUGAAACUACUUGAGCAUGGUUACACACGGUUAUCAAAAAUACGAAUAUUUUCCUAUUUUGUCAUUUUUCUGUAACCUCAGAUCUUAUCCGAGAUUACACGUGAUUAACUGAAAAUAAAUUGUAAAGGUCACGUGAGGAAGAGCCAAUUAAGUUCAAAGGCAUUCCAGGUGGAUCUUACAAUUUGGAUCAAAACCUGCAAAAUUGAAUUUUAUGAUUGGUAAAUGUGAUCUAAUUUCAAGCAGCAUAAAACCCAACCCCAGUCUUUGCGUAACUCAUGUGGGAUUGUAAUCAUAUUUAGAAACAGCCUGCCUAAAGUAUUUAUAUACUUUCCCAGGCUACUUUCAAACCAAUAAAGGUUUAGGUUUGUUUUUCAUUUUGGGGUCUUCAAGAGGGCCAAACUUUGACUUUAAGUCCUGCAGAGAAUUCUGUUGCCUUGCAUCCCUUUGCUAUUUGCCUCCCAUGUGUUAAUGGGACAAGGGUUCUCAGGGCGAGACUUAAUGAAAUUCAACAUCUGACCCUAGCAGAUGAACAUGUUGUCACCUCCAACUGUAAAAACCCAAGAGGCAUGACACUGACACAAAGCUGGGUCAAAGAAGUUCUUUUUAUGUUUCAAAUCAAGUUUUUGGCACAAUUAUGUUCACAGUUCAGACAGAUAUGAGCAUCAAGCUGCGAAAAUAUAGCCUUCCUGAAGCGUUCAUCACCUUCUCUUCUUGUGAAAAGUGAAGCAGGAUUGGGUCUUUCACUCAUAUUCGAAACAAACAUGUUUUUCUUUGCAGCUCCUCUCAGUGAAACUGGGAGAAAGACUUCAGAAUUCGCACAACAAUUGGACAAAUGCUCUCAUUACAUCACUCAAAACUCAACCACCUGGUAUCUGCUGUGUCGUUGGAAAGCUGCCCAACAGGUUAAUUUGUUCUGCUUUAGGCCUACCUGACAUUUAGCCUAAAAGAGGUUUUUGUACAUGCUGGGGAAUGAAUACAAGUGAAGGACACAAAUGCUUUCAAUGCAUGUUUUCUGUAACAAAAUGUAGUUUCAUCAAAAUAAAUUCACUUUAGCUUUGAUUUGAGAUUACAAUUGAUCUUAAAGAGUGAAUUUAUCUCACAUGCUGCAUAUGGUUCUGAUACAGGAUGGUUUGGUUUGUUUAGAGAGGCCUAUUUUAUCUUCUUUUAUUUACUUUACUGGUAUUUUUUUUUCCCAUGCAGGGAACUUAAUAUAAAUCCAUUCAAUUUGGAAGUUUACAAAGUUAUCAUAUGUGGCAUUAAUGAGGAGACAGUGCCCUCUUCUGGUACGAGCUCUGAAACAACAUUUGUGGGCUUAAAACAACUCAGUUCCUGAUGAAAAAGCAGAAGUUUAACAAUGAAAAAUUGAAGUACAUAUUUUUCAAAUAUCUAGAAAGGAAGUCAUUAAGUGUUUAUCGUUUAGUGGUAAGCAGAUUUACAUGUUCAAGAUUUAAUUCGUAUUAUUACAAAAUAUAUAAUAAUGACAAACCAAAUUAAAUGUUCUGAAUUCAAUUUUAAUGCUACAAACUAUUUUUAAAAACAAAAAUCUGGAGAAAUUAUCUGAUAAAAAAGCCUUCAGCUGCCUCAGGUGUAUUGAAAAAUAUGCUUCGGCUGAUAGCUUCAGUUUUUAGAUUUAUAAAACAAUCCAACACCAAAGUUUGCUGUCAUCCUGAAGAUGCUAAGUUUUAAUUUCUUUGACAAGGAAGAUCACUCUUGUUUGUUAUCUUUGCUGGCAGCAGAGCCAAACAGUGACAAAAGGGCAGCGGCAGUUGAGUUUCACAUGAUGCAGGAGCUCAGGAAUGCAUCCCCAGGAGAGUCACCAAAUCCCAGCCAACCAUUCUGCUCCACAGAGACAGAGAAAGAAGACACACGGAGAGGACUUGGUAAACUCCAGAGACACAUUGUUGAUGUGCAAAACUGUCUACAAACUCUGGCAUGGUUGACCCACGCCAAAAAUGCAGGAGUGAAGCUUCCCAGGGAAAAAUGAUCACAUAAACCCAUAAACAAGAAUUUCCCAUCAUUCAACUUGAUGUUUUAUCAACACCCCACUAUUUAAGGCUUUUCUUCAAAAGUCACCGUCAAAUUUUCAG
Molecule: non-coding RNA, 2212 nt
Organism: Xyrichtys novacula (pearly razorfish)
Lineage: Eukaryota; Metazoa; Chordata; Actinopteri; Labriformes; Labridae
Source: the annotation of a GenBank genome assembly